This 220-nucleotide ribosomal RNA is filed under the name uncultured bacterium. Its description in RNAcentral is "partial 16S ribosomal RNA". It matches the Rfam family "Bacterial small subunit ribosomal RNA", at positions 18 to 232 of the family's 1533-position model. The record is from RNAcentral.
CCUGGCUCAGAUUGAACGCUGGCGGCACGCUUAACACAUGCAAGUCGAACGGCAGCACGGAGUGGAUUUAUCUACUUGGGUGGCGAGUGGCGAACGGGUGAGUAAUACGUAGGAAUAUGCCUUGAAGACUGGGAUAGCCUUGGGAAACUGAGGGUAAUACCGGAUAAGCUCUGAGGAGGAAAGCUGGGGACCGUAAGGCCUGGCGCUUUAAGAUUAGCCU